RNAcentral lists this long non-coding RNA (704 nucleotides) under Cinara cedri. The record is from RNAcentral. Lineage: Eukaryota; Metazoa; Arthropoda; Insecta; Hemiptera; Aphididae.
AGUUAUUGAUCGUCGCCGCUUUGGCUUUAAUCGCUGUCACUUCUGCUCAAUUCAUUUACCAGCCUUACGCACCGGUCUACACCUACCCGUCUUACCCCCUCACUUACCCAAUAACUUACAACCCAUACGUCACUUUACUUCGCCGAUAGAAAAAUCGUAUUUCUAUAUGAUGUGAUAUAUAUAAACAAAGUAAGCACACAUUUUAUACGAUAUACCUACUUGUAUAUUAUUCAAAAUAUUUGACUAUUUUAAUUAUUUCAACGUUUUUAAAUUACUAUGACGUUUCGAAAAACGUAUUAAAACGAUAUUAUUUUCUUUCAAUUUGUUAAAUAUACUUCUAUAAAUUCCAUUGCUGUUUUUAAAUUUUCUUGUAAAAUAACACUUUCAAAAACCCCAUUUUACAUAUGUAAACACCUAUAUUUAUUUAUUUUUAUUAACUAUUUCAUUUUUUAUUUUUUACAGAACCAGAAAAAUGAACAUACCUCUAAUUUAUAAUUAUAAGUCUUCGGUGUUAACCUCUGCUGUAAAAAUAUCAACAAAGUAAAAUGUAUUCUUCGAACAUACUUUAUUGUUAUAAAUAUUAUAAUUUAUCACUGUAAAGUUUCAUAUUGUCACAUUUUCAAUCAUAACAUUAUUGUAUUAAGUAAAUUAUCUAACUAAUAAAUAUUAUUCCUCGUAAAUGACUUACUGGACGUAUAUUAUUU